RNAcentral lists this transfer RNA (65 nucleotides) under Zophobas atratus (kingworm beetle). Its description in RNAcentral is "tRNA-Asp". Lineage: Eukaryota; Metazoa; Arthropoda; Insecta; Coleoptera; Tenebrionidae. The record is from RNAcentral.
AAAAAUUUAGUUAAUAAAUAACAUUAACUUGUCAAGUUAAAGUAAAUAUAAAAUAUUAAUUUUUA